UUGCACGGUGCACCCCGGGCUUCUCUGAGUUUUGAAGUGACGAAGAAUGCCCCAAUGCUCGUGCUAUAACGUCGCCGUUUUAGUGUUGCAGUUUUGCCUUGUACCUCUUUCCCACGGCUCAUCUGUGUCAAAUCAACGGCCAAAUCU
Small nucleolar RNA from Cornus florida, 147 nucleotides. RefSeq annotates it as small nucleolar RNA snoR134. NCBI's taxonomy places the organism in Eukaryota, Viridiplantae, Streptophyta, Magnoliopsida, Cornales, Cornaceae. The transcript has a single exon. The record is from RefSeq and is a predicted model, not a curated record.